This 72-nucleotide ribosomal RNA is filed under the name Klebsiella aerogenes. RNAcentral describes it as "partial 16S ribosomal RNA". It matches the Rfam family "Bacterial small subunit ribosomal RNA", at positions 1 to 72 of the family's 1533-position model. The record is from RNAcentral. RNAcentral also lists the same sequence under 3 other names. Lineage: Bacteria; Pseudomonadati; Pseudomonadota; Gammaproteobacteria; Enterobacterales; Enterobacteriaceae.
AAAUUGAAGAGUUUGAUCAUGGCUCAGAUUGAACGCUGGCGGCAGGCCUAACACAUGCAAGUCGAGCGGUAA